RNAcentral lists this ribosomal RNA (584 nucleotides) under uncultured bacterium. RNAcentral describes it as "bacterial SSU rRNA". It matches the Rfam family "Bacterial small subunit ribosomal RNA", at positions 28 to 611 of the family's 1533-position model. The record is from RNAcentral.
GAUGAACGCUGGCGGCGUGCUUAACACAUGCAAGUCGAGCGAGAAGACUUUGACAGAUCCUUCGGGUGACGGAUAAGUUGGAAAGCGGCGGACGGGUGAGUAACGCGUGGGCAACCUGCCCCAUACAGGAGGAUAGCCACUGGAAACGGUGAUUAAUACUCCAUAAGACCACAGCAUCACAUGAUGCAGAGGUAAAAACUCCGGUGGUAUGGGAUGGGCCCGCGUCUGAUUAGCUAGUUGGUAAGGUAACGGCUUACCAAGGCGACGAUCAGUAGCCGACCUGAGAGGGUGAUCGGCCACACUGGAACUGAGACACGGUCCAGACUCCUACGGGAGGCAGCAGUGGGGAAUAUUGCACAAUGGGCGAAAGCCUGAUGCAGCAACGCCGCGUGAACGAUGAAGGCCUUCGGGUUGUAAAGUUCUUUUCUUGGAGAAGAAUAAAUGACGGUAUCCAAGGAAUAAGCCCCGGCUAACUACGUGCCAGCAGCCGCGGUAAUACGUAGGGGGCAAGCGUUAUCCGGAAUCACUGGGCGUAAAGGGAGUGUAGGCGGUCAAGCAAGUCAGAGGUGAAAGGCAUCGGCUCA